GAUGAACGCUGGCGGCGUGCCUAAUACAUGCAAGUCGAGCGAACAGACGAGGAGCUUGCUCCUCUGACGUUAGCGGCGGACGGGUGAGUAACACGUGGAUAACCUACCUAUAAGACUGGGAUAACUUCGGGAAACCGGAGCUAAUACCGGAUAAUAUAUUGAACCGCAUGGUUCAAUAGUGAAAGACGGUUUUGCUGUCACUUAUAGAUGGAUCCGCGCCGCAUUAGCUAGUUGGUAAGGUAACGGCUUACCAAGGCAACGAUGGGUAGCCGACCUGAGAGGGUGAACGGACACAUGGGGACUGAGAGACGGCCCAGACUGCUACGGGAGGCAGGAGUGGGGAAUAGUGCACAAUGGGCGGAAGCCUGAUGCAGAAACGCCGAGUGCGGGAUGACGGCUUGCGGGUUGUAAACCGCUUUCGCCUGUGACGAAGCGUGAGUGACGGUAAUGGGUAAAGAAGCACCGGCUAACUACGUG
This 477-nucleotide ribosomal RNA is filed under the name uncultured bacterium. RNAcentral describes it as "partial 16S ribosomal RNA". It matches the Rfam family "Bacterial small subunit ribosomal RNA", at positions 28 to 507 of the family's 1533-position model. The record is from RNAcentral.